RNAcentral lists this unclassified non-coding RNA (250 nucleotides) under Hevea brasiliensis (rubber tree). Lineage: Eukaryota; Viridiplantae; Streptophyta; Magnoliopsida; Malpighiales; Euphorbiaceae. The record is from RNAcentral.
GAUUAAUUUUUGGUGUGUGAUGUGUUGAGAAUGAUUUCAAAAGGCUUAUUGAUUCAUUUUGAUGUUGUAUCACGUUUGUGUGUGGAUGAUGCAUUGUUAUGAAAAUGGUCAUCUCCUUAUUAUUUGUGUGAGCAUGUCAUUUGCAUUGGUUGUGUUAUGUGAACUGAGGAAGAAUAAGAAAUUAAAGAGGACGUACCAUUUCAAGGGACGAGUCGCGUGCCAAGAUGGAUAAUAUGAUUCGAGAGGUGUG